GACGAACGCUGGCGGCGUGCCUAAUACAUGCAAGUCGAGCGAUGAAGGAGAUACUUGUAUCUUUUGAAGAGCGGCGAACGGGUGAGUAACGCGUGGGGAAUCUGCCAAUGAGUGGGGGACAACAUUUGGAAACGAAUGCUAAUACCGCAUAAAAUCUAUUGAGACAUCUCAAGAGAUUGAAAGGAACAAUUGUUUCGCUCGUUGAUGAUCCCGGGUUGUAUGAGCUAGAUGGUGAGGUAAGGGCGCACCAAGGCGAUGAUACAUAGCCGACCUGAGAGGGUGAUCGGCCACAUUGGGACUGAGACACGGCCCAAACGCCUACGGGAGGCAGCAGUAGGGAAUCUUCGGCAAUGGACGAAAGUCUGACCGAGCAACGCCGCGUGAGUGAAGAAGGUUUUCGGAUCGUAAAGCUCUGUUGUUGUUAAAGAACGUUGAUGAGAGUGGAAAGUUCAUCAAGUGACGGUAAACAACCAGAAAGGGACGGCUAACUACGUGCCAGCCGCCGCUGUAA
Molecule: ribosomal RNA, 511 nt
Filed under: uncultured bacterium
Lineage: Bacteria
Description: partial 16S ribosomal RNA
Rfam family: Bacterial small subunit ribosomal RNA
Source: RNAcentral